Non-coding RNA from Penaeus vannamei (Pacific white shrimp), 1527 nucleotides. The record is from RefSeq and is a predicted model, not a curated record. Lineage: Eukaryota; Metazoa; Arthropoda; Malacostraca; Decapoda; Penaeidae.
GUGUGUGUGUGUGUGUGUGUGUGUGUGUGUGUGUGUGUGUAUGUGUGCUUGCUUGCCUGUGUACAUGUAUAGGAUACAGUCCUAGUAUAUUCGAAAGAGACAACUUGAACCCUUGUUACAUCUCAAACAGGCAUCAUCCCAAAUCUUCAAGUAAGCCAACUGUGACCCUGUUUACGAAAAACCCUUGUCCUCUUUGUGACGUUGCACUUGAGGUUUUAGAACCACUGAGAGACCAGUUUAAACUUGUUGAGGUGGAUAUAACUGCACCAGGCAAUGAAAAAUGGUUUAAUUUGUAUAAGUAUGAAAUCCCAGUCUUUCACUUUGAAGGCCAAUUUUUGAUGAAACACAGAGCAGACUUUAAUUUGUUACAUCAAAAACUUAUUGAAUUUCGAGAAAGUUAACUCUGGUUUAGGUAUACUUUUAACAAUAAGAUUUCCUAUAAUAUAGAGUAAGUAGUAGGUAAAAAUGUUAUCACAUGUCUUAUCCAGGACAGAGAAGAACUAAUUUUGUGAAUAAUAUUUAUAUAUAUAUAUAUAUUUGUUACUUUCAUAUUGCAUAAGUUUAGGCAUAUAUUAAAGUAUCAUUUUGUCUGAUAAUCAACAGACCCCCAAAAAUGGUUAAGAAGUUCCAUGUAUUGUAUAUGUUAACCACUUAACCACUUGCCACCGGCUAUGGCAUGUGCAUACUUGCCAUGCCCUCUGUGUUUAAUUUAGUAAUUGUUUUUAUAUAUAGAUGGCUCCACCAAUGAGCCAAUUACAAGAACUUCCUGUCUCACCUGUUUACUCUUUUCCGUCAUUUUCGAUAAUAUUUUUGAGUAUUUAAUACUGCUGUUAGUAAUGUCAAUAACAAUAUAGUAAUUAUAAUGUUAACAAAAAUGUGUUGAUACUGAUAGCAUUGUUAAAAAAUAAUUUUCCUGCUAUUUCAAGGAAAGGUGAGGUCACAUCUAAUUGACUCCUUUGUGACCUAGCACUGGCAGAGCCAUCUAUAUACAUAAACAUUUAACAAAGCAAUACCAAAGUGAAUGCAGUAUUUUCCCAUCAGCAUUGGGUUAGCCUUACAUCAACCAGUUUGUAAAAAUGUACAAUUUCAAACUGUUUAUUUCAUGAAUAAACAUCAAAGUAUAUAAUAGAGUAUCAUAAUCCAUUGUCAAGUUAUUCUGCUACUUGUACUCACAGACUGUUAAUAUGUGUAACACUUUAUGAUAAAAGCUGGCCUUCAAAUGUUGACUUAUUUGGUACUACAGAUUUUUGUGUUGUGUAAUUCUUAUUUGUGUGUGAUGUAGCUGUGACACUUAACCAUUCGAAGUUAAAUUGCUGUUUUUUUUUUUGUAUGUAUAUACAUAUACAUACAUAUAUGCAUUUAUAUCUCUCACACACACAAAAACGACAAUAAUUACAGGUAACAAGUAUUUUGUUCAUUUUUAGCUGACAUUCUGUAACCUGGUCUUAGGAAAGAGGAGUGGUAUUUAUACUUUUGAAAAUGUUCUCUCAAUUCUUGUGACAAUAAUAAACUUUUACAACAAAUUGU